GACGAACGUUGGCGGCGUGCUUAACACAUGCAAGUCGAACGGAAAGGCCCUGCUUUUGUGGGGUGCUCGAGUGGCGAACGGGUGAGUAACACGUGAGUAACCUGCCCUUGACUCUGGGAUAACUUCAGGAAACUGGGGCUAAUACCGGAUAGGAGCUCCUGCUGCAUGGUGGGGGUUGGAAAGUUUCGGCGGUUGGGGAUGGACUCGCGGCUUAUCAGCUUGUUGGUGGGGUAGUGGCUUACCAAGGCUUUGACGGGUAGCCGGCCUGAGAGGGUGACCGGCCACAUUGGGACUGAGAUACGGCCCAGACUCCUACGGGAGGCAGCAGUGGGGAAUAUUGCACAAUGGGCGGAAGCCUGAUGCAGCAACGCCGCGUGCGGGAUGACGGCCUUCGGGUUGUAAACCGCUUUCGCCUGUGACGAAGCGUGAGUGACGGUAAUGGGUAAAGAAGCACCGGCUAACUACGUGCCAGCAGCCGCGGUGAUACGUAGGGUGCGAGCGUUGUCCGGAUUUAUUGGGCGUAAAGGGCUCGUAGGUGGUUGAUCGCGUCGGAAGUGUAAUCUUGGGGCUUAACCCUGAGCGUGCUUUCGAUACGGGUUGACUUGAGGAAGGUAGGGGAGAAUGGAAUUCCUGGUGGAGCGGUGGAAUGCGCAGAUAUCAGGAGGAACACCAGUGGCGAAGGCGGUUCUCUGGGCCUUUCCUGACGCUGAGGAGCGAAAGCGUGGGGAGCGAACAGGCUUAGAUACCCUGGUAGUCCACGCUGUAAACGGUGGGUACUAGGUGUGGGGUCCAUUCCACGGGUUCCGUGCCGUAGCUAACGCUUUAAGUACCCCGCCUGGGGAGUACGGCCGCAAGGCUAAAACUCAAAGGAAUUGACGGGGCCCCGCACAAGCGGCGGAGCAUGCGGAUUAAUUCGAUGCAACGCGUAGAACCUUACCUGGGUUUGACAUGGAUCGGGAGUGCUCAGAGAUGGGUGUGCCUCUUUUGGGGUCGGUUCACAGGUGGUGCAUGGCUGUCGUCAGCUCGUGUCGUGAGAUGUUGGGUUAAGUCCCGCAACGAGCGCAACCCUUGUUCACUGUUGCCAGCACGUUAUGGUGGGGACUCAGUGGAGACCGCCGGGGUCAACUCGGAGGAAGGUGGGGAUGACGUCAAGUCAUCAUGCCCCUUAUGUCCAGGGCUUCACGCAUGCUACAAUGGCUGGUACAGAGAGUGGCGAGCCUGUGAGGGUGAGCGAAUCUCGGAAAGCCGGUCUCAGUUCGGAUUGGGGUCUGCAACUCGACCUCAUGAAGUCGGAGUCGCUAGUAAUCGCAGAUCAGCAACGCUGCGGUGAAUACGUUCCCGGG
This 1343-nucleotide ribosomal RNA is filed under the name uncultured bacterium. RNAcentral describes it as "16S ribosomal RNA". It matches the Rfam family "Bacterial small subunit ribosomal RNA", at positions 28 to 1378 of the family's 1533-position model. The record is from RNAcentral.